AGUGAACGCUGGCGGUAGGCCUAACACUUGCAAGUCGAACGGCAGCACAGUAAGAGCUUGCUCUUACGGGUGGCGAGUGGCGGACGGGUGAGGAAUACAUCGGAAUCUACUUUUUCGUGGGGGAUAACGUAGGGAAACUUACGCUAAUACCGCAUACGACCUACGGGUGAAAGCAGGGGAUCUUCGGGCCUUGCGCGAUUGAAUGAGCCGAUGUCGGAUUAGCUAGUUGGCGGGGUAAAGGCCCACCAAGGCGACGAUCCGUAGCUGGUCUGAGAGGAUGAUCAGCCACACUGGAACUGAGACACGGUCCAGACUCCUACGGGAGGCAGCAGUGGGGAAUAUUGGACUAUGGGCGCAAGCCUGAUCCAGCCAUACCGCGUGGGUGAAGAAGGCCUUCGGGUUGUAAAGCCCUUUUGUUGGGAAAGAAAAGCAGCAGGUUAAUACCCCGCUGUUCUGACGGUACCCAAAGAAUAAGCACCGGCUAACUUCGUG
Molecule: ribosomal RNA, 492 nt
Filed under: uncultured bacterium
Lineage: Bacteria
Description: partial 16S ribosomal RNA
Rfam family: Bacterial small subunit ribosomal RNA
Source: RNAcentral